CGGCAAGUAGCCUAACGGUUAAGAGCGUUUGGCCAGUAAUCCAAAGGUCGCUGGUUCGAAUCCCCUAGCCGA
This 72-nucleotide transfer RNA is filed under the name Salmo salar (Atlantic salmon). It matches the Rfam family "tRNA". From Rfam's summary of the family: Transfer RNA (tRNA) molecules are approximately 80 nucleotides in length. Their secondary structure includes four short double-helical elements and three loops (D, anti-codon, and T loops). The record is from Rfam by way of RNAcentral. Lineage: Eukaryota; Metazoa; Chordata; Actinopteri; Salmoniformes; Salmonidae. RNAcentral also lists the same sequence under 1 other name.